ACAAAAUACUCAAUAAUUAUAUUAAGUAUCAUUGUAAAUUACAAAGAAUUAAAAAUCACAUAAGCAAAUAUCCAAAUUAUACAACACUAUUUUUACAAUUCCUAAAAAGGAAGAGAAGAAUUGUAAGGUGCAAAAAUGGCAACAUCUUCAUACAGCCCCUAGAAAAAUAAAGUUCGUUCCUCUUUGGCUUCAACUUGUUCUUUAACAUGUCAACCGCUUCAACUUGCUCUGCCUCACCAUCUUCAAGGGAAGAUUUAUUAAUUGGUAUAUGGUAGAUAUACCAUUAUUAAGGUAUUUAUUAAUUAUUUGAAGACUAAUGGUAUAUCUACCAUAUACCAAUUAAUCACUAGGAAACCAUGACUACAAAGGAAGUUUGUUAACAUCAGUAAGAGCGAGUUGUCAAUAAAACUGACUCGUACAUUAGUCUUAUCUAUCUUCCAAUUUGCAACUCUAUCUGAGAUCAGGGCUACAUGCUCUACCUUAGCCUUCUCCCUCCUCGUAUCUCCUAGCCUGUCCUCAGUGCUCCUCGACAUCAUGAGGAACUGCUAAGUCCAUUAAGACAUCACACUGUUAGCAAGUUUCUGUAAACAUGGCAAGCCACAUCUAUUAUGUUUUGAAACAACAUUUGUAAACUUGCUAAAAACAAUUUACCACCAUAUCCAUCUUUAGAAAGACAUGAAACUUUGCAUAUAGGAAUAAAAAAAGUCAUAAUUGAAAUUGUAAGUUUACUGAUUCAAACUAAUAUAAAACCUUAAUCUAACAACAAACUACUAUACAACCUGACAGAAAUGAUAAUAAUCAUGCUAAACCUAGUCUAUCUACAAUAAAGUUUUCAAACAAACGUGGAUUCAACUUUAAUGAUUAAAUUAUUGGUAACAGAGCAUGAAGGACAUUGUGUGAUAUCGUAAUGUACAUCUUGAAGCCACCUUAUAUAACAUAAGUUGUAUGUUCAAUAAAGAUAAAGAUCAAAAAAUUGCAAAUGAAGUAGGUCCCAAGAUUCUCUUUUCCAUCUAUCCAAGGCUUUUAUCUUUAACAAGCAGAGAACCAUAGAAGAUCUAUUGUAGAGGAGGACCAAAAAGACAAAGAAGGAACUCAAAUUCACAAAUUAACCACUUCGCUCACCUAGAGAAAUAUAAUAAAUAGCAGCUUAUGUUUUGAGUGCACAACACCCUCAGUACUUUCGAUUGCUUAAUUAAACCACUAAAACACCUCAGAAUAGUCAAUUUGACAUCCCUAAAUGCACAAACACUAAAUACUCAUCGCAACAAAUGAAUGGAAUCUGAAUGGCAUCGCAGCUAAUCAAGGUCCUAUCUCACAGCUAAAUUAGGAGAGGAAACAAUACAAGUUUAGCCCCCAAAAAGGGGUUCUGCUUGUUUUCCCAAUAGUGUUAGGAUAAACUACAACACCCACCCAUAGUCCCAUUUUACAUAUAUGCAUCUCUCCUUCAGUUACAUAAUUACGACACAUCGACAAUUAAAAUUAAUUUUUCAACCAAAUCAAAAAACUAAAAGCAUAUAAUUUCUUUCAGAUGAAGAGAAGGCACUAUUCUUGUAUAUAAAAAUUCAAAAGAUGACAAAAUCUUUCGUUUCUUAACCAUUUAGUUUGGUGGAAUAAAAGUAAAAAGAAUGCUAGUUGAAGACAACAUCUAACAUUUUCAAUAUUUGAUAUAUACGAUCAUAGAUUUCUUUAGGUAGAACCCUAACUAUUACACGAAAUCAGACCAAUCAGAAAGUUAAUGAAGAUAGAGAAACUUACCAUGAGAAGGAGAAAAAACCCUAAGACUAAUUCACUAGAGAGGCGCAGAGAACGGAAAAUCACAGUGACUAGAGGCAUAGUCCAGUUCAUUUCACUUUAAUUAGAGAGGGGACGUGGGAGUGGGAGU
This 1882-nucleotide long non-coding RNA is filed under the name Nicotiana tabacum (common tobacco). RNAcentral describes it as "long non-coding RNA (NTAB_LNC004599)". Lineage: Eukaryota; Viridiplantae; Streptophyta; Magnoliopsida; Solanales; Solanaceae. The record is from RNAcentral.